GGGAAUAUAGCUUAGUUGGUAGAGUGCUCGUCUCUCAUGCAAAAGGCCCUGAGUUCAAUCCCCAGUGCUUGCG
This 73-nucleotide transfer RNA is filed under the name Ictidomys tridecemlineatus (thirteen-lined ground squirrel). RNAcentral's name for it is "Spermophilus tridecemlineatus (thirteen-lined ground squirrel) tRNA". It matches the Rfam family "tRNA". Rfam says of the family: Transfer RNA (tRNA) molecules are approximately 80 nucleotides in length. Lineage: Eukaryota; Metazoa; Chordata; Mammalia; Rodentia; Sciuridae. The record is from Rfam by way of RNAcentral.